Molecule: ribosomal RNA, 322 nt
Filed under: uncultured fungus
Lineage: Eukaryota; Fungi
Description: SSU rRNA
Rfam family: Eukaryotic small subunit ribosomal RNA
Source: RNAcentral
GUACCACAUCCAAGGAAGGCAGCAGGCGCGCAAAUUACCCAAUCCCGACACGGGGAGGUAGUGACAAUAAAUAACAAUAUAGGGCUCUUUUGGUCUUAUAAUUGGAAUGAGUACAAUUUAAAUCCCUUAACGAGGAACAAUUGAGGGCAAGUCUGGUGCCAGCAGCCGCGGUAAUUCCAGCUCCAAUAGCGUAUAUUAAAGUUGUUGCAGUUAAAAGCUCGUAAUUGAAUUUUAGGCCUGGUUGGACGGUCUGCCUUUGGUUUGUACUGUCCUGACUGGGUCUUACCUUCUGGUGAGCUGUCGUGUUGUUUACUCAGUGCGG